CCUUACCUGGCCUUGACAUCCAGAGAACUUUCCAGAGAUGGAUUGGUGCCUUCGGGAACUCUGAGACAGGUGCUGCAUGGCCGUCGUCAGCUCGUGUCGUGAGAUGUUGGGUUAAGUCCCGUAACGAGCGCAACCCCUAUCCCUGGUUGUUAGCAGGUAAUGCUGAGAACUCCAGGGAGACUGCCGGUGACAAACCGGAGGAAGGUGGGGAUGACGUCAGGUCAUCAUGGCCCUUACGGCCAGGGCUACACACGUGCUACAAUGGCGCGUACAGAGGGCUGCCAACUCGCGAGAGUGAGCCAAUCCCUUAAAACGCGUCGUAGUCCGGAUCGGAGUCUGCAACUCGACUCCGUGAAGUCGGAAUCGCUAGUAAUCGCGAAUCAGAAUGUCGCGGUGAAUACGUUCCC
This 407-nucleotide ribosomal RNA is filed under the name uncultured bacterium. RNAcentral's name for it is "bacterial SSU rRNA". It matches the Rfam family "Bacterial small subunit ribosomal RNA", at positions 969 to 1375 of the family's 1533-position model. The record is from RNAcentral.